GACGAACGCCGGCGGCGUGCUUAACACAUGCAAGUCGAGCGGUAAGGCCCUUUCGGGGGUACACGAGCGGCGAACGGGUGAGUAACACGUGGGUGACCUGCCCUCAGCUCUGGGAUAAGCCUGGGAAACCGGGUCUAAUACUGGAUAUGACUCCAUGACGCAUGUUGUGGGGUGGAAAGCCUUGUGCGGCUGAGGAUGGGCCCGCGGCCUAUCAGCUUGUUGGUGGGGUGAUGGCCUACCAAGGCGACGACGGGUAGCCGGCCUGAGAGGGCGACCGGCCACACUGGGACUGAGACACGGCCCAGACUCCUACGGGAGGCAGCAGUGGGGAAUCUUGCGCAAUGGGCGAAAGCCUGACGCAGCGACGCCGCGUGAGGGAUGACGGCCUGG
RNAcentral lists this ribosomal RNA (390 nucleotides) under uncultured bacterium. RNAcentral's name for it is "bacterial SSU rRNA". It matches the Rfam family "Bacterial small subunit ribosomal RNA", at positions 28 to 419 of the family's 1533-position model. The record is from RNAcentral.